UUGUCAUUUAAAAAUCUAGUCUGGAAGCUGAAGAAGGUUACUAACAGAUCGUCUCAAUAAGGAGUGGAAAAAACAUACAUAGUUUGAGUGGCAUUCAAUUAAUAAUCUGUAAUAGCUUACAACUGAUCCUUCUAGUACCUCUCUUAAGAGCAAGGAGCUGAUUUCUUGUUUAUUAAUGCAGUUAUUAUUAUUAUUUAAGCAGGUGUUUUCUACAGAGGUGACAGCGAACCAGAACAUCAGCUCCGAACUUCUUUGGACUUUGAGAAGCUUGGAUUCUGAUUCAUAGUCUCCAAGUGGAAAACAGUUGGAGAUACAGGUUGUAUUUAUACAUAUGCUGAGGAAGUAAAGCAAUUUCAUCAACUUGUAGUAGAAGAAAGGUUGCAUGAAGUUCUGCAGCGCACAGUGCUGACACCUUCAAAAUGCAGCAAGACAAGCCAGCUCUUCAUGCAGUUCCUUUGUCCGUGGAAGUUAAAUAUUGGGCAUAUCCAGAUCUAUUAAC
This 499-nucleotide long non-coding RNA is filed under the name Gallus gallus (chicken). Its description in RNAcentral is "long non-coding RNA NONGGAT003434". Lineage: Eukaryota; Metazoa; Chordata; Aves; Galliformes; Phasianidae. The record is from RNAcentral.